UACGUAGGGUGCAAGCGUUGUCCGGAAUUACUGGGCGUAAAGAGCUCGUAGGCGGUCUGUCGCGUCGGCUGUGAAAUCCCGAGGCUCAACCUCGGGACUGCAGUCGAUACGGGCAAACUAGAGUAUUGCAGGGGAGACUGGAAUUCCUGGUGUAGCGGUGAAAUGCGCAGAUAUCAGGAGGAACACCGGUGGCGAAGGCGGGUCUCUGGGCAAUAACUGACGCUGAGGAGCGAAAGCGUGGGGAGCGAACAGG
This 253-nucleotide ribosomal RNA is filed under the name uncultured bacterium. RNAcentral's name for it is "partial 16S ribosomal RNA". It matches the Rfam family "Bacterial small subunit ribosomal RNA", at positions 524 to 776 of the family's 1533-position model. The record is from RNAcentral.